CGGCCUACCAAGGGUACGAUGGGUAGCUGGUCUGAGAGGAUGAUCAGCCACACUGUAACUGAGACACGGUUCAGACUCCUACGGAGGCAGCAUGGGGAAUAUUGGACAAUGGGCGAAAGCCUGAUCCAGCCACGCCGCGUGGGUGAUGAAGGCCUUCGGGUUGUAAAGCCCUGUCGGGAGGGACGAAUACUGACGGUACCUCCCAAGAAAGCACCGGCUAACUCCGUGCCAGCAGCCGCGGUAAUACGGAGGGGGCUAGCGUUGUUCGGAUUUACUGGGCGUAAAGCGCACGUAGGCGGAUCUUUAAGUCAGAGGUGAAAUCCCAAGGCUCAACCUUGGAACUGCCUUUGAUACUGGGGAUCUCGAGUUCGGGAGAGGUGAGUGGAACUGCGAGUGUAGAGGUGAAAUUCGUAGAUAUUCGCAAGAACACCAGUGGCGAAGGCGGCUCACUGGCCCGAUACUGACGCUGAGGUGCGA
This 477-nucleotide ribosomal RNA is filed under the name uncultured bacterium. Its description in RNAcentral is "bacterial SSU rRNA". It matches the Rfam family "Bacterial small subunit ribosomal RNA", at positions 261 to 756 of the family's 1533-position model. The record is from RNAcentral.